GGCUCAGUUGGUAGAGCAUGGUGCUUGAUACACCAGGGUUGCGGGUUCAAUUCCCAC
This 57-nucleotide transfer RNA is filed under the name Salmo salar (Atlantic salmon). It matches the Rfam family "tRNA", at positions 9 to 63 of the family's 71-position model. From Rfam's summary of the family: Transfer RNA (tRNA) molecules are approximately 80 nucleotides in length. Their secondary structure includes four short double-helical elements and three loops (D, anti-codon, and T loops). The record is from Rfam by way of RNAcentral. Lineage: Eukaryota; Metazoa; Chordata; Actinopteri; Salmoniformes; Salmonidae.